AAAAUUCAUCCCAACCACCCAUGUGGUGGUUGAGCGGUGGAACUGGCUGUCCUGCCGAUCCCAGUACACACGGGAGAAGCGGGUCAGUUGAAGCGCAGAUGUUGCUGAUGGACCCUACCACGGGCCUCUACUGGGUAGGCAACUCGCUUGCUGAAAUGCUUUAGUAGAUGGCUUUGGGACUGUGAGCAGCACAAACCAGGAGUGCUCGUCAUGAGCACAAACCCUCCUUUUUCUC
This 235-nucleotide unclassified non-coding RNA is filed under the name Volvox barberi. RNAcentral describes it as "ITS2". The record is from RNAcentral. Lineage: Eukaryota; Viridiplantae; Chlorophyta; Chlorophyceae; Chlamydomonadales; Volvocaceae.